Engraulis encrasicolus (European anchovy) is the source of this 473-nucleotide non-coding RNA. The record is from the annotation of a RefSeq genome assembly. Lineage: Eukaryota; Metazoa; Chordata; Actinopteri; Clupeiformes; Engraulidae.
UUGUAACGAUGAUUUGGAUAUUCUUUUACUCGCUCAUCAGAAUCUCAGCAGGAUGUCAAUUGCAUGAUGACACCACUAUUGAAGUCUCCAAAUACUCUGGUGAAGAUGUUCUCCUGCCAUGCUCCUGUGUUGAUGGCCAGACGCACAGCAGAGGCUUGAGAUGGAUAAAAAAUCCAGGAGCUUCAGAUACAGUGAUUUACGAACAGGCACGUAUACAUGAAGACUACAGAGACAGGGUCCGGUUAUUUGUUGAAGACUCUCCAGGAAAUCGCUCCCUUUUCAUAUCACGCCUCACUAAAGGAGAUGAGGGAGACUACAGAUGUGAGGACAAAUCUCACUACAGAGACAUUAGACUUCAAAUAACAGAUUCACCACCUGUACCCCCAACAACUCCUACAACAUCUACAACACCAGGACCUAAACCCACUGAUGACAAAGGUUGAGUCUGAUUAUCAAGAGUUCGAUGAUCAAAU